GGGGGAGGGGAUUCCUACAUUCUCUCUCAAUUACAUUAUUGAACAGCUGCUAGUGUUUUCAUCACUGAACAUGUGGGUUGCUGCAGAGUUACCAAUACUGUAAUUGGGUUGCUCAGUACAAGGGGCAGGGCUGUAGUUAUAGUAAUAGCCAGUGUUAGGUGGAAUAAAAGGAGACCUGUGAUACAUCAUCUGAGGUUGAGGUGGCUGUUGCUGCUGCUGCAUUAUAUGCCUGUUUUGCAUGUUCAUCAUCAUGGAUGCUGCUGCUGCUGGAUGGUUAUACCCAUUCAUAUUCAUCAUCGUAGCUGAUGGAUGUUGCCCUGCGGCAUAUAAACCACUAGGGAACUCUCCUCCAGAUGAUCCUUGAUAUCCCAUAUUGGAUUGAACUUGUUGAAACCCUCCUACACCAUUGGGAUUGCAUCCCAACCCAGUAGCAGUAGCUGAAUUAGGAAUAUUACCAACAUUUCCAUUAAAACCAGCAAGGUUCAUCAUGGUUGCAAUGUCAUUUGCCCUUUUCCCUUCACCAGAAUUGAUGUUUCCACCUCCUAAUUGGGUACUGUUCAUUUUCAAAGCCGCCAUGGCUUGUUGAUCUAUCUCACCUGGAUUAACCUUCAUUCCCAUGUUCUGAUUUGGGUUUGGGGUUCCUUUCUUUUGGGCAUUCCCGUUCCCAACAUUGUUGUUCAUCUUAUUACCAUUGUUGGGAGCUGCUGCCAUGGCUCUAACAUUUUUCUUUGCAUUGCUUGCCUCAAUAUGCUGCCUGAGUAGACCAAGAUUGCUUGGCCCGAGAAACCUGAGCUCAUCCUCCUCAUCUUCUUCAUCAAUAUCGUCUAAAUAGUCAUCAUCUUCUUCAGAGCUGAAUGCAGGGAACUUCUGCUGGUUCUUUAAGGCUUCUAGGCCUUUGAGGAUGCUUCGUUUUUGGCCUUUGUUGUUCUUGUCAUCUUUGAUGCAGUUGCCCUUUUGGUUUUGGUUUUGGUUGGACUUCUGGGACCAAACCUCAGCAUGUUUACCAGCUCUGACUAACUUCUUAAUCAAAGUUGCAGAGUCUACACUUCCUGAUACUGCGACCUUCUGUUGCUCUGCAUCUAUGUUUACUUGGUAAACACCUUCAAUCCGCUGAAGGAGUUUCUUCACUUUCUGCUUACACCCAUCACAGUGUAUGUUCACUUUGAGAACACAAGUCUGUGGAAGAAACCAAUAACAAGAAAGAAAGUGAGCAAACAGCAAAAACAAGAAGAAAGAUGCUUGAGGAAAAGCACCACCAGACUUUGCUAUAGAUAAAAGAGGGGGAAAAAAACCAUAAAAAAAUGAUAGAGUGGGCUAUAAGAAAAGACAGAAAGAAUGUGAUUGGAGAGAGAGAGACCUGGAUCUUAAGGAGCUUAAAGUCUUCUUCUUUGGUCAUUUCUUCAGUGGCGUUUGGGAAUGAAAGAGUUUCACUCAGCUAGAAAAGAGGAAAAAGAAAAUAAAGUUAAAGAGAGUGGGUAAUAAUAAGCUAGUUAUAGUGGGAAGAGGAUUGCAUGUGGUGAGGAAGGAGAGUUUCUUUCUUGAAGUUAAACGAAGCAAGAUAGAAUAUAAGAUUCUUCUUUUUCUUUCUUUAAUUUGUGUUUCCCUUCUUGCAGUUCAUCAAAAGCAAACCCAAAAGAGAAGCACAUGGGGUGGUUUUUUAGUUUGAAAGAAAUAAAAAAACCAGAGAGAGGGAGAGAGAGAGAGGAGAUGCACUGCCAAGACAAGACAAGCUGAAGAAAGUCAGAAAGAGGGAGAGAGAAAUAAGGGAGGAGGAGAUGGCCUUU
RNAcentral lists this unclassified non-coding RNA (1784 nucleotides) under Hevea brasiliensis (rubber tree). The record is from RNAcentral. Lineage: Eukaryota; Viridiplantae; Streptophyta; Magnoliopsida; Malpighiales; Euphorbiaceae.